Molecule: ribosomal RNA, 346 nt
Filed under: uncultured bacterium
Lineage: Bacteria
Description: partial 16S ribosomal RNA
Rfam family: Bacterial small subunit ribosomal RNA
Source: RNAcentral
CCUACGGGUGGCAGCAGUGGGGAAUAUUGGGCAAUGGGCGCAAGCCUGACCCAGCAACGCCGCGUGAAGGAAGAAGGCUUUCGGGGUGUAAACUUCUUUUGACAGGGAAGAGGAGAAGACGGUACCGGUCGAAUAAGCCACGGCUAACUACGUGCCAGCAGCCGCGGUAAUACGUAGGUGGCAAGCGUUGUCCGGAUUUACGGGGUGUAAAGGGCGUGUAGCCGGGUUGACAAGUCAGAGGGGAAAUCCUUCGGCGUAACCGCAGAACUGCCUUUGAAACUGUUGAUCGUGAGUACUGGAGAGGCAGCCGGAAUUCCUAGUGUAGCGGUGAACUGCGUAGAUAUUA